GCCAGCGUGGCAUAGUGGUUUGGGUGUUGGACUAUAACUCUGGAGACCAGAGUUUGAAUCUCUGCUUGGCC
Molecule: non-coding RNA, 71 nt
Organism: Phrynosoma platyrhinos (Desert horned lizard)
Lineage: Eukaryota; Metazoa; Chordata; Lepidosauria; Squamata; Phrynosomatidae
Source: the annotation of a GenBank genome assembly